AUGACCGGCAAGGUGAACAAGGUGGCGCGCAUCACCACCUCCCCGCGCAAGGAAACAUUUAGCCUGCAAAGAGCCAAUAGUAGAAAAUCAGCGAGCAGCUUUAGGCCCUUGGUGACUACAAAGAGGAUUGAGAUAGAAAAUAGUAGUACAAACUUGCAAAAUACUCUUUUACAGAGAUCUAGUCCUAAUAAGACUCAAGGUGGAAGGCUAAUUGUUAUUUCUCCAAAUGCGCUCAUACAAGCUGCAACAAAGAAUUUGCAAAUGUUUGAAGCAAUGGAUCCGAAGAACUAG
Molecule: ribosomal RNA, 291 nt
Filed under: Triticum aestivum (bread wheat)
Lineage: Eukaryota; Viridiplantae; Streptophyta; Magnoliopsida; Poales; Poaceae
Description: partial small subunit ribosomal RNA
Source: RNAcentral